Long non-coding RNA from Telopea speciosissima, 147 nucleotides. RefSeq lists it as uncharacterized. NCBI's taxonomy places the organism in Eukaryota, Viridiplantae, Streptophyta, Magnoliopsida, Proteales, Proteaceae. The record is from RefSeq and is a predicted model, not a curated record. The transcript is spliced from 3 exons.
ACGGAUAACUGGUCCAGUAGUGGGUACCUCGUAGGACCUCGACCCGCCUACUCGGGUCUUGUAUGGAUAUGUAGGAAGGGGUGCUCCUAGGUGUGUGUAGGGGGUGUAUUUGUUCGUGAGAAUGGAUUCCUCGUCAAGUCAGUUUGG